AAAAAGUUGGGAACCACUACUUGCAUCCAUAGUUCCACUGAGAAAACCAUGAAUGAAGCUGUUGGUAAAUUGAUAGCAGUUAUACUGCAGUUCCUAUCUUGGCACAACUUUCAUUCCUCAAAUCUGAUAAAAUGAAUUUCUGCCAAGUGCUUUUCUAUACAUAUUGUACAACAGAAUGCAGGUCAACUACAGCCUCAUGGACAAUUACAGAUUUUAAAAAAACCUGCAGAGAACAUGUAAUGGCAACCGCUAAAACAGAGGAAAGGGUUCACCGAAAAUCCCUCUGUCCAAACGGAAGCAAAGGUACUCCAAAAUUCUUAUAUUACAAUAAAAGGUAUGCUUAUUUUUAAAAAGAUACUACAGUAUGGUGCAUAAAUCACUUCUGAUUAAUGUUUUAUAAUUUAUAUAACAAGAGAUGAGUUAAACCUGGAGUGCCAAUUUAAUUUCAUAUAAUCAAAUUAUUUUUUUAAGGAAUGCUCUGCCAUUUAGUAGUUAAAUAACUUUGUUUACGCAGCCACAGUCAGACCUACCUGCAUGUGACUUAGUUAUCCUAAACACUUCCUGUAGCGAGAGCUCUAAUGUUUAAACUUCCUUUAUUGCACAGUGUGUUUAACCCCUUAAGGACUGAGCCAAAUGUACACGUUUUGAUCAAAAUAAAACUUAAUCAAAACUCGGAA
Molecule: non-coding RNA, 677 nt
Organism: Pelobates cultripes (western spadefoot toad)
Lineage: Eukaryota; Metazoa; Chordata; Amphibia; Anura; Pelobatidae
Source: the annotation of a GenBank genome assembly